GCUGAUAUUCCAGUUGCCCAUCCAGGAUCAAAUGAACUAGAAAAGAGAGUGAGUGGGAAACAAGCAGCAUCAAAGGCUUCCGUGAAAUCUUUUCCGGUAAGUUGAUUGCCAGCAAAAUCUAGGAACAUUUUGAAAGCGGAUAACUGAAGCAGGAUCUGACUGGUUACCUCCACCACUUCCAGCAGAGCACGUUCAACAGCUGAAAACUCUUGGCCUUUUAUGAAAUGAGAUGGGACAGUUUUCCUUUUUCCCUGAAGAGCACCUGUUGAAAGCUUGAAACUGACCAUAUGCUUUUGCUGCUCAGUUGCACUUCUUUACUUUGGACCAAGAAAGUCCUAUACAUAUUGCUCACAAAUAUAUCACAGCCUAUGCUUUUCUUCUGUAUUUUAGAAUGGCUAGCUUUUGUCUUAUCCGUGUGAG
This 420-nucleotide unclassified non-coding RNA is filed under the name Hevea brasiliensis (rubber tree). The record is from RNAcentral. Lineage: Eukaryota; Viridiplantae; Streptophyta; Magnoliopsida; Malpighiales; Euphorbiaceae.